This 810-nucleotide long non-coding RNA is filed under the name Phoenix dactylifera (date palm). Its description in RNAcentral is "long non-coding RNA (PDAC_LNC002181)". Lineage: Eukaryota; Viridiplantae; Streptophyta; Magnoliopsida; Arecales; Arecaceae. The record is from RNAcentral.
CAAUUGUCACAGCCAGAAUCAGAAGUUUAUCUGGCUUUCCAGUUUCUGCUACUUUCUGAGUUGGAGACCCCCUUACUCAAAACCUGAAGCUCAUGCAAAUUUCAUUCAUUUGGUUGUCUAUCAUUCAGUAUCAUGGGCCACAAAUAUUUCAGACAGCAGCCUCUUGAUUCUUUAGCAGCUAUAAUCUCACCUUCCAAGUUACUCGCUUUGAUCGAGCUACAACCAGGUACAUCAGUCUGCCAUUGUUUCUCUCACUUUCAUGUCAUCAUCCCACCUAUUUGCACUUGCAUAAGUGUUUGAUAACAGAACAUAGUUUCUUCUAUUACUAGGAUCCAACUCAAGAAGCUUCUUGGUGGCAAUCUCGGCUAGACUCAACUUGCCAUGCACCUUGCAAACUCCUAGCAGUGUCCUCCAACUAAUAGGAUCUGGUCUCAUUGGCAUUUUUGUGACAAACUUCUGAGCCUUUUCCUGUUCACCUGAGCGACCAAGGAGAUCCACGACGCAUCCCUAAUGCUUCUUGUCUGCCAAUCAACUACGUGCACAAGCAAUCAGGGGAUCAACGAAGGUAACAUCGUUGCUGAAAUCCUUCCUUCAUCGUAUCAGAGAAAACUUCCAAUGCACUUUCUACAUAGCCAUUAGCUGGUAACCAUAAUGUAAUUGAAUUCCAUGACAAGGAAUCCUCCAUCCCACCAAACACUCUGAAUGCCUCCAUCACCCAUCCACACUUUGAAUACAUAUCUAUCAAGAUUUCCCCACAUAAAUAUCUGCCUUAAUGUUGCUUCUCGGAAUAUAAUUACGAAUCCGCUACCC